GCCAGCACCGUCGUUCCGACUCCGAGUCCUGAGACCCCCUCUGCUCCGGCGCCAGGGACUCGCACUCCGCCUCUGCUCCACCGCCGACGGCGAUUUCGGAUUCACCAUCCUUCUCGGCCGUCCAUGGAUGGAUGAUUUCUCUAAGGAAUUCUCUCUCUGUCUCUCUCUCUCUCUCUCCUCAGCAUUUCCACCACCCUCUUGGUCGGCGCCGGAUACUUCGCCUUAGGCUUUCUCCUCGCCCACAAGGAGACCUGGAACGGCUUUCCUUCCCAAGUUCUUGGAUCAAGCCUUCGCUGAUAGGACUACAGUCGCCUCCUUUCGGCCGACGACGCUGCCGCCUAGCCCGAGUAUAUAGAGAGAACCACGCAGAAGAAGCCCUCCCUUCACGAGAUCAAAACCCUUGCUGAAAUUCUUGAAAGUUUCGACAUGGUUUUGCUUGUUAGAAAUGAUCUGGAAAUGAGACAAGGGAAGAUUGCUGCCCGACGCAGUGAGACUAAUGAGUUUGAUGGACAUCAUGAGCAAGAGAACAGAGAAACUAGCUACUCAAAAGCAUAAAAGACAGCCAUGCAAUGGUGGUUUGUAUAAAGAGCUCCUUCGUAGGUCUGUGCAAGCUUUCAGCAGGUACCUUUGGUUAUUCUCAUAAAUGAAUUAUCUAUCUCAUAGAAAGUUCCUUGAUAGGGAUUCAAAAGAAGUGUGCAGGUACCUUUUGGUACUCUUACAAAUUUAUCAUCAUAUCUCGUAUACCUUGCUUUUGCACCUACAAAAUCAAGAAUUGUCAUAAUAGAACUUCAUAUACUGGUUCUAGAUAUUUUGAUUUUAUCAUGUACAGCUUCUUUUGUCGACAUGAGGGAGAAUCUAGGACAAGAUUGUAAUCAUAAUCAAAAGGGAGAUCUUCUGUGGUUACAAGUAUAUUACAGUGACAUGUAGUUUAAUCACAUUGGUUAACAUAGAUCUAUGACUUUCUUCAUCUAGAUUUGCACCUUUUUCUGUCAUCAGAUAGUUCCAGACUCAUAAACCUGUUGCCAUCUCAAGAUGGUAUAUGGUAGUGGGUCAGUAGUAUAAAAGCAAACAGCACAAAGGAUCACCUGGUGGUUGAACCCAGUUGCCUAUAACAUUAAGUCUAUUGUCUUCUUAGAUGCACAA
This is a non-coding RNA of Musa acuminata subsp. malaccensis (wild Malaysian banana), 1143 nucleotides long. NCBI's taxonomy places the organism in Eukaryota, Viridiplantae, Streptophyta, Magnoliopsida, Zingiberales, Musaceae. The record is from RefSeq and is a predicted model, not a curated record.